GAUGAACGCUGGCGGCGUGCCUAAUACAUGCAAGUCGAGCGAACGGACGAGAAGCUUGCUUCUCUGAUGUUAGCGGCGGACGGGUGAGUAACACGUGGAUAACCUACCUAUAAGACUGGGAUAACUUCGGGAAACCGGAGCUAAUACCGGAUAAUAUUUUGAACCGCAUGGUUCAAAAGUGAAGGACGGUCUUGCUGUCACUUAUAGAUGGAUCCGCGCUGCAUUAGCUAGUUGGUAAGGUAACGGCUUACCAAGGCAACGAUGCAUAGCCGACCUAAGAGGGUGAUCGGCCACACUGGAACUGAGACACGGUCCAGACUCCUACGGGAGGCAGCAGUAGGGAAUCUUCCGCAAUGGGCGAAAGCCUGACGGAGCAACGCCGCGUGAGUGAUGAAGGUCUUCGGAUCGUAAAACUCUGUUAUUAGGGAAGAACAUAUGUGUAAGUAACUGUGCACAUCUUGACGGUACCUAAUCAGAAAGCCACGGCUAACUACGUG
Molecule: ribosomal RNA, 497 nt
Filed under: uncultured bacterium
Lineage: Bacteria
Description: partial 16S ribosomal RNA
Rfam family: Bacterial small subunit ribosomal RNA
Source: RNAcentral